AUCUCAAUCACAGCCACGAACACCUCCUCUCUCUUUCUUCUCUAUCGUCUCACACCAAGCACAUCUCACUGUUCACCACUGGCCGCCGAAGAAGAGCAAAAGACCGGCAACUUGGGCGGCACCAUGUGUAGCGUGCUCUUCGGCCAGCUGCUCGUCACGCUGGCGGAGUUCAACCUCGAGCAUGGAAGUGGCCCGAACAUCUACGGCAUCUCAGAGAUCGAAGGCUUCAACUCGUUAUGUGGUUUGUCGGCGUGAUGCGUGUGUGUUGUCUGGCAUUGUACGUGCGUGUGUUAUGUUGGCAUGUUGAUGCAUGCAUGACGGUUUAUUGUGUAUUGAUGUAUGCAUGUGGCUCGGCCGUCAUGAUGCGCGUACAUGCUUUGGAUUAGGAGCUCGCCGGCUGAUAUAUGCGUGUGUACUGAUGCGAUGAGCACCUAGACAACAAUAGGUAGACCGGUCCGUCAUCUUGAGCCCCGCCCUACCGCAAGCGCGACCAGCUUCAGC
RNAcentral lists this ribosomal RNA (501 nucleotides) under Triticum aestivum (bread wheat). RNAcentral's name for it is "partial small subunit ribosomal RNA". Lineage: Eukaryota; Viridiplantae; Streptophyta; Magnoliopsida; Poales; Poaceae. The record is from RNAcentral.